UGCGCUCUGCUGCUGCUGUACAGUGCACGCCACCUCGGAGAAGUUGACCCCUCUGCACUCCAUCCAUCCACCCCAUUGAACUGCCAGCCCUGGUGUCUGUAAGGCGGGGAUUUACAUUUUCUCAGGACAGGCAGCCCAUGGAGAGAGGCCUGCUGGCAGAUCAAAGGCUCCGGCUGUAAAACGAUCUGAAAGAGUCCAGCAUUAGCAUCCAUCAGGGUACCUUGAAAGCUCCCUGAUCAGCCGAGAGGGAAGCUGAGGGCCCCCCAAAGUGAAAGCCC
Molecule: long non-coding RNA, 278 nt
Organism: Astatotilapia calliptera (eastern happy)
Lineage: Eukaryota; Metazoa; Chordata; Actinopteri; Cichliformes; Cichlidae
Source: Ensembl